This 439-nucleotide ribosomal RNA is filed under the name Pacifastacus leniusculus (signal crayfish). RNAcentral describes it as "partial 16S ribosomal RNA". It matches the Rfam family "Bacterial large subunit ribosomal RNA", at positions 1854 to 2557 of the family's 2925-position model. The record is from RNAcentral. Lineage: Eukaryota; Metazoa; Arthropoda; Malacostraca; Decapoda; Astacidae.
UGACCUGCCCCUUGGGUUUUAAAAGGCCGCGGUAUUAUGACCGUGCAAAGGUAGCAUAAUCAUUAGUCUUUUAAUUGAGGGCUAGAAUGAAUGGUUGGACAAGAAAUAAUCUGUCUUAAAUUAAAAUAUUGAAUUUAACUUUUAAGUGAAAAGGCUUAAAUUAUCUAGAGUGACGAUAAGACCCUAUAAAACUUUAUAUUUAAAAAUAAUAGUUAGUUUUAUUUAAAAAUUUUAUUUAAAAAUAUUUUAUUGGGGUGAUAAAGAUAUAAAUUCAAAUAACUGUCUUUUUUUUUAUUACAAUAAUAUUUGAAUUAAUGAUCCUAGAAAAGGAGUAAAAGAUUAAGUUACUUUAGGGAUAACAGCGUAAUUUUUUUUAAGAGUUCAUAUCGACAAGAAAGUUUGCGACCUCGAUGUUGAAUUAAAAGAUCUUUAUAGAGCA